Equus caballus (horse) is the source of this 1686-nucleotide long non-coding RNA. NCBI's taxonomy places the organism in Eukaryota, Metazoa, Chordata, Mammalia, Perissodactyla, Equidae. The record is from Ensembl.
CUCCUGAUUACAAGAAAGACCUUUAUUCCAACAGGUGAAGUUGAAGAGUAUUCAUAAGUCUCACUGCAAUUUUUAAACUUUUUUCCAAAGGCAAGUUUUUACCACCUUCUAAUUUACAACAAAUGCUAUCCAUAUUGGGAUGACUCCUCAAACUCUAUCUUCAACUCAGGUGACUGUUGAGAUUAAGUUCCAUUCAUUCAACAGCCAACUGCACAUUCUAUGCUCAACAUAACCAUGACUAAACUCAUCAGCCUCCACAUCAAACCUGGUCUUCUUCCUUUCUUCAUGUGGUCUUGACUGAUUUCCUCUGCACAAGCCAGAAUCUAUCUAGCCCAUUAAGUGAAGGCUCUAUGCCAUCCACAGGGCUGACUGCCUUUUAAACACAGAACAUCCGUCUUCCCUACCAUUGUGUGCCUAGCUCUGUGUCUAACUCCAGGAACGCCUAAAGCAAACUUACUUCACCAUUUCCACAUUCCACUACCACAGACCCCAGGAUCUGGACCACCAGGCGUAUCUUCCUUGGAGAGUCGGCUUCUCAUAGGAGAGUCCUUCUCAUCCUUGCAGUGCCUGGCACAAGCAGCUCCAAGGAUGACAGCACCUUCAAACUCAGGACCAGGAAUUAACAGGUGCCCAGAAAAGUCCAGAUAGAUGGAAAAUGGAAAGCUUUCUGUGCUACAUAAUCUGCAUGAAGGAAGAUGAAUACACCACAGCUCCAGAGGUCUAAGGGAUCAUUCCAGAUGAUGAACUAGGAUCCUUCAGUCCUUAUUCCAAUUGACUUAGAUGAAUUUGGCACUGCAGAUUAUACGAGAUGAGUGUCAGCCAUCACCGCUCACCAUGGGCCUGACUUGCCCGGCCUCCUUGAACCGAUGAGGGUGGUUCAAGCUUCAUUCUAGCUUCAGUAUUGCGUCUAUUUUACCAAACAGGAAUUCAAGGUGCAAUGAAGCCACACACUCGAGCAAUUUAAUGUGCUCCAGACUCAGCUGGAGUUGCCUGGACUCCUCAUUCUCCAGACUACCAACCACUGAAUCACUUCACAGUUUCUUGGAAAACCAGGGCAACCAACAUACUGUUACAGCCUCCUGAGAUGUUCUUCUCACUGAGACCUGACCAUCUCAGAGAAUUCAGGAUUGCUACAAUCUCCAUUUUAGAGAUAUCGAAAAUGAGACAAGAGGCUAAAAUGGAUGCCUGUCCAAGUCAUACAGGUUGUAAGUGGCAGACCUGGGAAUCAAAUCCAGUCAGGUGAACACCAGAGCCUGUACAACCACUGCCCAUUCUGCCCUAAGAGGAGACAGGAGGAAGUAGCAGGACCCCUGAUGACAGUGAUGCUUGGACUAGACUUUAGAGACAAUUCAAAAAUCCCCAGGAAACAAAUACAGUUCUGUAGCAGAUUUUACUGAACAUUGAAGAACUGGUACAAGGAGAGGUUAGAGGCCAUCAGAGGUGAAUGGAGCACCAUGCUUUCUACCAAGUCUUGCACCUGAAGGAAAUCAUUCAGCUCCUCCUUCUGACAUUCACUUCAGGUCAAAACAAUAAAAACACAUUAGGCAUCAUGAGGUACCAGUAGUAAUCCUGGAUGAAGAAUCAGAAGUCCUAGGUCUGAUUUCCAGCUCUGCAAUAUAUUUUCUGUGUGAUUUUCGGGCAAAUUACUUAACCUCUUAAGAUCUGUUUCCUUGCCUCUAAAUAAAA